UAGGGAAUCUUCGGCAAUGGGGGGAACCCUGACCGAGCAACGCCGCGUGAGUGAAGAAGGUUUUCGGAUCGUAAAGCUCUGUUGUUAAGGAAGAACGAGUGUGAGAAUGGAAAGUUCAUGCUGUGACGGUACUUAACCUGAAAGCCACGGCUAACUACGUGCCAGCAGCCGCGGUAAUACGUAGGUGGCAAGCGUUGUCCGGAUUUAUUGGGCGUAAAGCGAGCGCAGGCGGUCAAUUAAGUCUGAUGUGAAAGCCCCCGGCUCAACCGGGGAGGGUCAUUGGAAACGGGUUGACUUGAGUGCAGAAGAGGAGAGUGGAAUUCCAUGUGUAGCGGUGAAAUGCGUAGAUAUAUGGAGGAACACCAGUGGCGAAGGCGACUCUCUGGUCUGUAACUGACGCUGAGGCUCGAAAGCGUGGGUAGCAAACAGG
Molecule: ribosomal RNA, 430 nt
Filed under: Bacteroidota bacterium
Lineage: Bacteria; Pseudomonadati; Bacteroidota
Description: Bacteroidetes bacterium partial 16S ribosomal RNA
Rfam family: Bacterial small subunit ribosomal RNA
Source: RNAcentral